GACGAACGCUGGCGGCGUGCUUAACACAUGCAAGUCGAGCGAUGAAGCUGGAGCUUGCUCCGGUGGAUUAGUGGCGAACGGGUGAGUAACACGUGAGCAAUCUGCCCUUGACUCUGGGAUAACUGCGGGAAACUGUAGCUAAUACCGGAUACGAGGCUCGAAGGCAUCUUCGGGUCUGGAAAGAAUUUCGGUCAAGGAUGAGCUCGCGGCCUAUGAGCUUGUUGGUGAGGUAAUGGCCCACCAAGGCGACGACGGGUAGCCGGCCUGAGAGGGUGACCGGCCACACUGGGACUGAGACACGGCCCAGACUCCUACGGGAGGCAGCAGUGGGGAAUAUUGCACAAUGGGCGAAAGCCUGAUGCAGCAACGCCGCGUGAGGGAUGAAGGCCUUCGGGUUGUAAACCUCUUUUAGCAGGGAAGAAGCGAGAGUGACGGUACCUGCAGAAAAAGCACCGGCUAACUACGUGCCAGCCGCCGCCGUAA
RNAcentral lists this ribosomal RNA (483 nucleotides) under uncultured bacterium. RNAcentral describes it as "partial 16S ribosomal RNA". It matches the Rfam family "Bacterial small subunit ribosomal RNA", at positions 28 to 523 of the family's 1533-position model. The record is from RNAcentral.